GCCUGGAUAGCUCAGUUGGUAGAGCAUCAGACGUUUAAUCUGAGGGGCCAGGGUUCAUAACCCUGUUUGGGCA
Non-coding RNA from Bos taurus (domestic cattle), 73 nucleotides. Lineage: Eukaryota; Metazoa; Chordata; Mammalia; Artiodactyla; Bovidae. The record is from Rfam.